This 301-nucleotide ribosomal RNA is filed under the name uncultured bacterium. RNAcentral describes it as "partial 16S ribosomal RNA". It matches the Rfam family "Bacterial small subunit ribosomal RNA", at positions 509 to 807 of the family's 1533-position model. The record is from RNAcentral.
CAGUAGCCGCGGUAAUACGUAGGUGGCAAGCGUUGUCCGGAAUUAUUGGGCGUAAAGGGCUCGCAGGCGGUUUCUUAAGUCUGAUGUGAAAGCCCCCGGCUCAACCGGGGAGGGUCAUUGGAAACUGGGAAACUUGAGUGCAGAAGAGGAGAGUGGAAUUCCACGUGUAGCGGUGAAAUGCGUAGAGAUGUGGAGGAACACCAGUGGCGAAGGCGACUCUUUGGUCUGUAACUGACGCUGAGGAGCGAAAGCGUGGGGAGCGAACAGGAUUAGAUACCCCUGUAGUCCCUGUCUCUUAUAC